CGAGUGGAGAGCUGAUGGCCACAAUGGGAUUGAGCACGGCCCAUAUUCUUAGGGAAGCAGCAGUAGGGAUCUUCCACAAUGGGCGCAAGCCUGAUGGAGCAACGCCGCGUGUGUGAUGAAGGNUUUCGGCUCGUAAAACACUGUUAUAAGAGAAGACGGCACUGAGAGUAACUGUUCAGUGUGUGACGGUAUCUUACCAGAAAGGAACGGCUAAAUACGUGCCAGCAGCCGCGGUAAUACGUAUGUUCCAAGCGUUAUCCGGAUUUAUUGGGCGUAAAGCGAGCGCAGACGGUUAUUUAAGUCUGAAGUGAAAGCCCUCAGCUCAACUGAGGAAUGGCUUUGGAAACUGGAUGACUUGAGUGCAGUAGAGGAAAGUGGAACUCCAUGUGUAGCGGUGAAAUGCGUAGAUAUAUGGAAGAACACCAGUGGCGAAGGCGGCUUUCUGGACUGUAACUGACGUUGAGGCUCGAAAGUGUGGGUAGCAAACAGGAUUAGAUACCCUGGUAGUCCACACCGUAAACGAUGAGUGCUAGAUGUUCGAGGGUUUCCGCCCUUGAGUGUCGCAGCUAACGCAUUAAGCACUCCGCCUGGGGAGUACGACCGCAAGGUUGAAACUCAAAGGAAUUGACGGGGACCCGCACAAGCGGUGGAGCAUGUGGUUUAAUUCGAAGCAACGCGAAGAACCUUACCAGGUCUUGACAUCCCUUGCUAAUCCUAGAAAUAGGACGUUCCCUUCGGGGACAAGGUGACAGGUGGUGCAUGGUUGUCGUCAGCUCGUGUCGUGAGAUGUUGGGUUAAGUCCCGCAACGAGCGCAACCCUUAUUAUUAGUUGCCAGCAUUCAGUUGGGCACUCUAGUGAGACUGCCGGUGACAAACCGGAGGAAGGUGGGGAUGACGUCAAAUCAUCAUGCCCCUUAUGACCUGGGCUACACACGUGCUACAAUGGCAUAUACAACGAGUCGCCAACCCGCGAGGGUGCGCUAAUCUCUUAAAGUAUGUCUCAGUUCGGAUUGUAGGCUGCAACUCGCCUACAUGAAGUCGGAAUCGCUAGUAAUCGCGGAUCAGCACGCCGCGGUGAAUACGUUCCCGGGUCUUGUACACACCGCCCGUCACACCAUGAGAGUUUGUAACACCCAAAGCCGGUGGGGUAACCUUUAGGAGCCAGCCGUCUAAGGUGA
Molecule: ribosomal RNA, 1178 nt
Filed under: Weissella paramesenteroides
Lineage: Bacteria; Bacillati; Bacillota; Bacilli; Lactobacillales; Lactobacillaceae
Description: bacterial SSU rRNA
Rfam family: Bacterial small subunit ribosomal RNA
Source: RNAcentral